CCUACGGGUGGCAGCAGUGAGGAAUAUUGGUCAAUGGACGAGAGUCUGAACCAGCCAAGUAGCGUGAAGGAUGACUGCCCUAUGGGUUGUAAACUUCUUUUAUAUGGGAAUAAAAUGUUCCACGUGUGUGAUUUUGUAUGUACCCUAUGAAUAAGGAUCGGCUAACUCCGUGCCAGCAGCCGCGGUAAUACGGAGGAUCCGAGCGUUAUCCGGAUUUAGUGGGGUUAAAGGGCACGUAGGUGGAUUGUUAAGUCAGUUGUGAAAGUUUGCGGUUCAACCGUAACAUUGCAGUUGAAACUGGCAGUCUUGAGUACAGUAGAGGUGGGCGGAAUUCGUGGUGUAGCGGUGAAAUGCUUAGAUAUCACGAAGAACUCCGAUUGCGAAGGCAGUUCACUGGACUGCAACUGACACUGAGGCUCGAAAGUGUGGGUAUCAAACAGGAUUAGAUACCCUAGUAGUC
This 460-nucleotide ribosomal RNA is filed under the name uncultured bacterium. RNAcentral's name for it is "partial 16S ribosomal RNA". It matches the Rfam family "Bacterial small subunit ribosomal RNA", at positions 338 to 795 of the family's 1533-position model. The record is from RNAcentral.